GAUGAACGCUGGCGGCGUGCCUAAUACAUGCAAGUCGAGCGAACAGACGAGGAGCUUGCUCCUCUGACGUUAGCGGCGGACGGGUGAGUAACACGUGGAUAACCUACCUAUAAGACUGGGAUAACUUCGGGAAACCGGAGCUAAUACUGGAUAAUAUAUUGAACCGCAUGGUUCAAUAGUGAAAGACGGUUUUGCUGUCACUUAUAGAUGGAUCCGCGCCGCAUUAGCUAGUUGGUAAGGUAACGGCUUACCAAGGCAACGAUGCGUAGCCGACCUGAGAGGGUGAUCGGCCACACUGGAACUGAGACACGGUCCAGACUCCUACGGGAGGCAGCAGUAGGGAAUCUUCCGCAAUGGGCGAAAGCCUGACGGAGCAACGCCGCGUGAGUGAUGAAGGUCUUCGCAUCGUAAAACUCUGUUAUUAGGGAAGAACAAAUGUGUAAGUAACUAUGCACGUCUUGACGGUACCUAAUCAGAAAGCCACGGCUAACUACGUG
Molecule: ribosomal RNA, 497 nt
Filed under: uncultured bacterium
Lineage: Bacteria
Description: partial 16S ribosomal RNA
Rfam family: Bacterial small subunit ribosomal RNA
Source: RNAcentral